This 478-nucleotide ribosomal RNA is filed under the name uncultured bacterium. RNAcentral describes it as "partial 16S ribosomal RNA". It matches the Rfam family "Bacterial small subunit ribosomal RNA", at positions 28 to 523 of the family's 1533-position model. The record is from RNAcentral.
GACGAACGCUGGCGGCGUGCUUAACACAUGCAAGUCGAACGAUAAGGCUCUUCGGGGUAAACGAGUGGCGAACGGGUGAGUAACACGUGGGUGAUCUGCCCUGCACUUCGGGAUAAGCCUGGGAAAUUGGGUCUAAUACCGGAUAGGACCACUGCCUGCAUGGGUGGUGGUGGAAAGCUUUUGCGGUGUGGGAUGGGCCCGCGGCCUAUCAGGUGGUUGGUGGGGUGAUGGCCUACCAAGGCGACGACGGGUAGACGGCCUGAGAGGGUGACCGGCCACACUGGGACUGAGAUACGGCCCAGACUCCUACGGGAGGCAGCAGUGGAGAAUAUUGCACAAUGGGCGCAAGCCUGAUGCAGCGACGCCGCGUGAGGGAUGACGGCCUUCGGGUUGUAAACCUCUUUCAGCACCGACGAAGCGCAAGUGACGGUAGGUGCAGAAGAAGGACCGGCCAACUACGUGCCAGCCGCCGCUGUAA